GCACCCACGCUGUGCAGCCGGGAAGCGGCGGCGGCCAGCGGCAGCCUCACUGCCUCCUUUUGCUUUCAAUGCACGGAGUCCUUCCGCGGCUCCCGUUAGCAUCCUCGUUCUCCUUUGACUCUAGUGACGGAGGCCUCUAUCACAACAGACUCAAAACCCCUAAGAGGCAGGGGAUAAAGAUGGAGAAGAAGGGAUGUAAAAUUUAGCUCCUGUGGAACUCCAUCGUACCCCAUGCUGGACGCCAAGCUCCACCCCAAAUCUGAAGACACCUCUAGGCGUCGGCAGUGGUUCCUGCCCUCACGGAGCUCCGAGCGGUAGAGGGGAAAAUGGAGACAGAAAGUGAAACUUCUCCUGACUCCUCCCCCGUCGCAUUGCUCUCAAGCUGAUGUCUGCAGGAGCGAGAUCGCCCCCGCACCGUGCCCUGCUCCCAGCUGUGGUUCUGACUCCUCCAAUGUGGAGAGAGGCGGGAGAGGGGGAGGAGGAGAGACAGGGAGCCAGGAGCUUCUUACUGGAUUACCCAUAGCGGAGCACGUGAGUCCAUGAGGGCAGGACGUGGUCCUCUUUCCUGAUGCGUCUCCUGUGCCUGGCUGGUAGGAGGCCCUCGGCGACAGUCAUCCAAUAAAUGGGCGAACAAAGUGAUGUGGGAAGAGACAGGGGACAUCUGACUCACUUUAUACCCAAGGUUUCUUCAUGCUCUGGCAAGUCAUCUCCUUUGACAACAAACAUUCAAUAUUUUAAAAAUUAUUUUAUUGAAGUCAUAUUGAUUUAUAACUGUAAACUUCAGGUGUACAUUAUUAU
Molecule: long non-coding RNA, 798 nt
Organism: Equus quagga
Lineage: Eukaryota; Metazoa; Chordata; Mammalia; Perissodactyla; Equidae
Exons: 4
Source: RefSeq, a predicted model, not a curated record